CCUACGGGCGGCAGCAGUCGAGAAUCAUUCACAAUGGGGGAAACUCUGAUGGUGCGACGCCGCGUGGGGGAAUGAAGGUCUUCGGAUUGUAAACCCCUGUCAUGUGGGAGCAAAUUAAAAAGAUAGUACCACAAGAGGAAGAGACGGCUAACUCUGUGCCAGCAGCCGCGGUAAUACAGAGGUCUCAAGCGUUGUUCGGAAUCACUGGGCGUAAAGCGUGCGUAGGCUGUUUCGUAAGUCGUGUGUGAAAGGCGCGGGCUCAACCCGCGGACGGCACAUGAUACUGCGAGACUAGGGUAAUGGAGGGGGAACCGGAAUUCUCGGUGUAGCAGUGAAAUGCGUAGAUAUCGAGAGGAACACUCGUGGCGAAGGCGGGUUCCUGGACAUUAACUGACGCUGAGGCACGAAGGCCAGGGGAGCGAAAGGGAUUAGAUACCCUUGUAGUC
RNAcentral lists this ribosomal RNA (446 nucleotides) under uncultured bacterium. RNAcentral's name for it is "partial 16S ribosomal RNA". It matches the Rfam family "Bacterial small subunit ribosomal RNA", at positions 338 to 795 of the family's 1533-position model. The record is from RNAcentral.